AUUGAACGCUGGCGGCAGGCCUAACACAUGCAAGUCGAGCGGAUGAAGGGAGCUUGCGCCUGGAUUCAGCGGCGGACGGGUGAGUAAGGCAUAGGAAUCUGCCUGGCAGUGGGGGAUAACGUACGGAAACGGGAGCUAAUACAGCAUACGUCCAGAGGGUGAAAGGGAGGGAUCUUUGGACCACACGCUAUCAGAUGAGCCUAGGACGGAUUAGCUAGUUGGUGGGGUAAAGGCCUACCAAGGCGACGAUCCGUAACUGGGCUGAGAGGAUGAUCAGCCACACUGGAACUGAGACACGGUCCAGACUCCUACGGGAGGCAGCAGUGGGGAAUCUUGGACAAUGGGCGAAAGCCUGACGCAGCCAUGCCGCGUGUGUGAAGAAGGUCUUCGGAUUGUAAAGCACUUUAAGUUGGGAGGAAGGGCAGUAAGUGAAUCCCUGGCUGUUUUGACGUUACCAACAGAAUAAGCACCGGCUAACUUCGUG
RNAcentral lists this ribosomal RNA (484 nucleotides) under uncultured bacterium. RNAcentral's name for it is "partial 16S ribosomal RNA". It matches the Rfam family "Bacterial small subunit ribosomal RNA", at positions 29 to 507 of the family's 1533-position model. The record is from RNAcentral.